UAGGGAAUCUUCGGCAAUGGACGAAAGUCUGACCGAGCAACGCCGCGUGAGUGAAGAAGGUUUUCGGAUCGUAAAACUCUGUUGUUAGAGAAGAACAAGGACGUUAGUAACUGAACGUCCCCUGACGGUAUCUAACCAGAAAGCCACGGCUAACUACGUGCCAGCAGCCGCGGUAAUACGUAGGUGGCAAGCGUUGUCCGGAUUUAUUGGGCGUAAAGCGAGCGCAGGCGGUUUCUUAAGUCUGAUGUGAAAGCCCCCGGCUCAACCGGGGAGGGUCAUUGGAAACUGGGAGACUUGAGUGCAGAAGAGGGGAGUGGAAUUCCAUGUGUAGCGGUGAAAUGCGUAGAUAUAUGGAGGAACACCAGUGGCGAAGGCGGCUCUCUGGUAUGUAACUGACGCUGAGGCUCGAAAGCGUGGGGAGCAAACAGG
This 429-nucleotide ribosomal RNA is filed under the name Gemmatimonadota bacterium. RNAcentral describes it as "Gemmatimonadetes bacterium partial 16S ribosomal RNA". It matches the Rfam family "Bacterial small subunit ribosomal RNA", at positions 355 to 776 of the family's 1533-position model. Lineage: Bacteria; Pseudomonadati; Gemmatimonadota. The record is from RNAcentral.